UGGGCGUAAGCGCGCGCAGGUGGUUUCUUAAGUCUGAUGUGAAAGCCCACGGCUCAACCGUGGAGGGUCAUUGGAAACUGGGAGACUUGAGUGCAGAAGAGGAAAGUGGAAUUCCAUGUGUAGCGGUGAAAUGCGUAGAGAUAUGGAGGAACACCAGUGGCGAAGGCGACUUUCUGGUCUGUAACUGACACUGAGGCGCGAAAGCGUGGGGAGCAAACAGGAUUAGAUACCCUGGUAGUCCACGCCGUAAACGAUGAGUGCUAAGUGUUAGAGGGUUUCCGCCCUUUAGUGCUGAAGUUAACGCAUUAAGCACUCCGCCUGGGGAGUACGGCCGCAAGGCUGAAACUCAAAGGAAUUGACGGGGGCCCGCACAAGCGGUGGAGCAUGUGGUUUAUUU
This 397-nucleotide ribosomal RNA is filed under the name Geobacillus stearothermophilus. RNAcentral's name for it is "bacterial SSU rRNA". It matches the Rfam family "Bacterial small subunit ribosomal RNA", at positions 555 to 951 of the family's 1533-position model. The record is from RNAcentral. Lineage: Bacteria; Bacillati; Bacillota; Bacilli; Caryophanales; Anoxybacillaceae.